AAAAGCCUCUAAGCAUCAGGUAACAUCAAAUCGUACCCCAAACCGACACAGGUGGUCAGGUAGAGAAUACCAAGGCGCUUGAGAGAACUCGGGUGAAGGAACUAGGCAAAAUGGUGCCGUAACUUCGGGAGAAGGCACGCUGAUAUGUAGGUGAAGCGACUUGCUCGUGGAGCUGAAAUCAGUCGAAGAUACCAGCUGGCUGCAACUGUUUAUUAAAAACACAGCACUGUGCAAACACGAAAGUGGACGUAUACGGUGUGACGCCUGCCCGGUGCCGGAA
Molecule: ribosomal RNA, 280 nt
Filed under: Escherichia coli
Lineage: Bacteria; Pseudomonadati; Pseudomonadota; Gammaproteobacteria; Enterobacterales; Enterobacteriaceae
Description: partial 23S ribosomal RNA
Rfam family: Bacterial large subunit ribosomal RNA
Source: RNAcentral